CAAUACAUGGCCCCCUAUUCCCCCUAUUCCCUAUGUAGUACACUACAUGGCCCCCUAUUCCCUAUGUAGUGGACUAUCAAGCCCUGGUCAAAACAAGUAAACUAUAUGGAGAAUAGGUUGCCAUUGGGAUGCCCCCUCCUCACAGUCAUAUCAUUGGGAUGUGUUGAAAGUACUGUAAAGACCCAUACCAGACUGGUGUUGAAGGUACUGUAAAGACCCAUACCAGACUGGUGUUGAAGGUACUGUAAAGACCCAAACCAGACUGGUGUUGAAGGGUAGUAAGGACCCAUACCAGACUGGUGUUGAAGGUACUGUAAAGACCCAUACCAGACUGGUGUUGAAGGAACUGUAAGGACCCAUACCAGACUGGUGUUGAAGGUACUGUAAAGACCCAUACCAGACUGGUGUUGAAGGUUCUAUAAAGACCCAUACCAGACUGGUGUUGAAGGGUAUUGGAAGGUACUAUAAAGACCCAUACCAGACUGUUGUUGAAGGGUAUAGGAAAGUUUUAUAAAGACCCACACCAGACUGGUGUUGAAGGUACUAUAAAGACCCAUACCAGACUGGUGUUGAAGGGUAUUGGAAGGUACUAUAAAGACCCAUACCAGACUGGUGUUGAAGGGUACAGGAAGGUUCUAUAAAGACCCAUAUCAGACUGGUGUUGAAGGGUACAGGAAGGUUCUAUAAAGACCCAUACCAGACUGUUUUUGAAGGGUACAGGAAGGUUCUAUAAAGACCCAUAUCAGACUGGUGUUGAAGGUACUAUAAAGACCCAUACCAGACUGGUGUUGAAGGUACUAUAAAGACCCAUACCAGACUGGUGUUGAAGGGUACAGGAAGGUUCUAUAAAGACCCACACCAGACUGGUGUUGAAGGGUACAGGAAGGUUCUAUAAAGACCCAUACCAGACUGUUUUUGAAGGGUACAGGAAGGUUCUAUAAAGACCCAUAUCAGACUGGUGUUGAAGGGUACAGGAAGGUUCUAUAAAGACCCAUACCAGACUGUUUUUGAAGGGUACAGGAAGGUUCUAUAAAGACCCAUACCAGACUGUUUUUGAAGGGUACAGGAAGGUUCUAUAAAGACCCAUAUCAGACUGUUUUUGAAGGGUACAGGAAGGUUCUAUAAAGACCCAUACCAGACUGUUUUUGAAGGGUACAGGAAGGUUCUAUAAAGACCCAUACCAGACUGUUUUUGAAGGGUACAGGAAGGUUCUAUAAAGACCCAUACCAGACUGGUGUUGAAGGUACUAUAAAGGCCCAUAUCAGACUGGAGUUGAAGGGUACAGGUAGGUUCUAUAAAGACCCACACCAGACUGGUGUUGAAGGGUGCAGGAAGGUUCUGUUAAAAGCAUGUAAUGAUACAGAUUCUUCACGAUGUGCUCCCCUUUAAAUUCAUGUUUCUCUUCUGUUUUUGUUCUCACUGUUCUUAAAUACUGUUUGAAACAAUGAAUCAUAAAUAAAAAAUAAAAAAAUUAAAUGAUGUCAAAGAUUCAAAACCCCAACUAGUAGAAAGGGUGUUUAGGUGAAUCUGCUAUUUUGGAUGUCAGAGGCCUCUUUCCUCUGUCGCGUUUCUCCUUUCUUAACUUCGGGCUGAUGACGGAGCCUGAUUGAGUUUGUCACUCACCUGUGUGCACUUUGCUGAGUCCUCCUUGUGAAUGUGGGGAUGUCGACUUGACCAUGAUUGUCCUUUUUAUCUGUUAACUACGUUACCCAUGAUGCACCACAGCCUGUUUCAAAACAUAUAAGGAAUAUUUUAGCCUGUUGAAUUUCACGGUCUUGGAAAUAUUAUAUUGUGCUAUUGGGAUGUGCUAAUAAAGAGAUAUUUUUUAUACAACA
This is a long non-coding RNA of Oncorhynchus tshawytscha (Chinook salmon), 1835 nucleotides long. RefSeq lists it as uncharacterized. The transcript has 2 exons. The record is from RefSeq and is a predicted model, not a curated record. NCBI's taxonomy places the organism in Eukaryota, Metazoa, Chordata, Actinopteri, Salmoniformes, Salmonidae.